Long non-coding RNA from Acinonyx jubatus (cheetah), 1719 nucleotides. RefSeq lists it as uncharacterized. NCBI's taxonomy places the organism in Eukaryota, Metazoa, Chordata, Mammalia, Carnivora, Felidae. The transcript has 4 exons. The record is from RefSeq and is a predicted model, not a curated record.
CACACGGAAUAAUCUUGUCUCUCGUUCCUCUGAAGCACUCCUGGGGGACAGGGUGGGGUGGGGGCAUGAGUCAUGUGAGUCCCGCACAGCAGAUGGUGGAGGGCAGUGAGUCACAGCUCUGUCCCUUAAUCAGAAGCGUAUUCGAGCGCUGGAGAGAGUGUGACCGCGGCCAGGUCCGGGCGCCCACCUUGCUGGUGACCGUCUGUUAAACAAUGACAGACUACGACCUGCGGGGCUUCUCAGUUCACACGUAUUUCCUCACUGUUUCUCAGUUCCUGAUUGUACCUGUACUGAUGUGGUUAAUUGGGGACUGCGCUGGCUUCUGGACUCCGUGCAAGCAGGGCCUAUUUUGUCAUUCUCUGGCACAGCUCAGCGUGCUCAUUCCUCCUGGACGCACUUCUCUGCUCUGCCCGGAGGAUGGUGAGGAAGUGACAUCUCCAUGGAAACAGGUGUUGAUCCCACAGUUGCUUAGCGAUGUGCUGGUGUGCUGCAGGAUGAUAUGUGCCUUGAAUCUUUCAAGAAGUCCUGGCUGAGACUUUUUUACAUCCGGGAGUUGGGACAGGAAUUGUCUUCAGCCAGUUAGAGUUCAAGAAAAAGAUCAGCUUGGCUGGCUGGCCGACGUGGCCACCAGGAGCCGCCCGUGCUGGCAGAGAGACCUCCGAAGCAAAGCGAGAGUGUCCGAUAUUUUGUCCCAGUUAAAAAUAGUGCUUCGCACAAGAGCUGAAAACAGGCUUCUUCACUAAACGCUUCCUCAAGCUGGUUCUCAGCCUCCUCCUGAAUCAUUACCCUCAAGCCAGUUCGCUGAGAUCUCAGGGAGAUACACGCCAAGAAACGCCACGCUUCCUCCGGGGAAAGUGCCAGCGGGUGCCCACCCCACUGCGGUUGAACCAGCCCACACCAGGUCUACGAAGUCAGGCAGGGCUGUCCAUUCCAGGACCACCUCCUGGUCUUCCUCAGGUGAAGAGGAAGGACCGCCCCUUCUGACCUGGUUGAAGGAACCUGCAGUCACUCCCGGGUCUCUAUUUUACCACAGCCUGUUAGCAGCCCAGAAUAGCUCCCGAGCCUUCGAUUCCGUGCUCCGGGCAGAGUCUUGAACCGUCAGGAAAUGGUUUUUGCGGUGUGCCGAGGAGGCAGAGGGGGAGGCAGGGAUGGAAAAUCCAAACAUCCCUCCCGAGUCACAGCGAAGAGGCAACCCAUGUUUUCAAGUCAGUCUGGAUCUCAAACAUUGAGUGCCACUUGCGCGAUGGGUUCCUGCCAUUCUUCCCUCUGGUAAUUAGAAGAAGUCGUGACAGCCUGUGGAACCAUCCAGCUGAGUAAGGGGAACAGGUCCCUGAGCUGGCGGGAACUGUUACUGAGGCCUCGCCCACACUGAAGAUCAUAAUGCCAUGAAGAAAGUUCUGGCAACUCUGGAAACCUAAGGGAAAGCAUGCCUGUCUCCCCCACCCCUGCCAGUAUUCAGUCACAUAUGUGCUCUUCGUCUUCUGUAUAACUUCCAUCUUGGCACGUUUGAGAGAGAAGUUUGCUGUGUUUGUCUGCCCAAUGGGCUGCCUUCAUUAUAGAUUGUAAAUAACUUCUUUCCAGAAUUUCAAGAGUUUCUUUUUUUCUUUAGGAUGACAUUUAAUAUUUUCCAUGCAGUUUGCCUUUCUGGGAGAAUGUUCUCAGGGAUGAGUAACUUUGGGUUGUCUUCCUUUCAACUGCUUUCCCUAUUUUAAAGGUCUC